This 475-nucleotide ribosomal RNA is filed under the name Epiperipatus sp. SAS072. RNAcentral describes it as "partial small subunit ribosomal RNA". The record is from RNAcentral. Lineage: Eukaryota; Metazoa; Onychophora; Udeonychophora; Euonychophora; Peripatidae.
AGCAGCGGUUAUACGUUAUUAUAAACUAAUUUUAACUGAAUAACUCCAUUUCAUCAUAUUUUCUAUAAAAAUGAAAUUUCCAACAAAAAUAAUCAUAAAAUUAAUCAAAAAUUAGAUAAAAACCAGGAUUAGAUACCCUGCUAUUCUAAACUAAAAUAAUAUUUCAAAGAAAAAACCAACAAAAUAAAUUUGACGGUAUUAACCUUUACAAAGGAAUUUGUUUCUUAAUCGAAAAUACACGACUUACCCUACUUAAUAAUUAUUUGUAUACCACUGUAAAGAAAUUAUUUAAAAUUAAUUUCAAAAUAAAAUCCCUUAAAAAAUCAAGUCAUGGUGCAAUUUUAUUAAGAUGAAAUGAAUUACAUUUAUUUAUAUAAACAUAUAUUAAUUGAAAAAUUAAUAAAAAUAGAAUUUGUCAGUAAAAUUUUAUCAUCAUGAUAAUUUGAAAAUAAACAUUAAUAUGUACAUAUCGCCC